Molecule: non-coding RNA, 309 nt
Organism: Chelonoidis abingdonii (Abingdon island giant tortoise)
Lineage: Eukaryota; Metazoa; Chordata; Testudines; Testudinidae
Source: RefSeq, a predicted model, not a curated record
AGAAAGAAUGCAGGGUGAGGGCCCACAGCGCACCUGGCCUGGCACACACCCUGUUGUAUCCAUACAGCCCACCCCUCCAGCUCCCUCUACUGUACAGCCCCAGGCAGCAGGGGAGCUGGGCGCCUACUCCCAGUCAGGCUGGGGCACCAAUGGGGUUGGUGCAAGGAACAAGGGGCACAGUGCUACUCUCAGAUGAAGCUGAUGGUGCCCAGUACAAGGAGAGGGAAACCCAGGAUGGCUUUGCCCCUGUGGGUAGGCAGAGGAAGGCCCCAGACACCAGGCAUAUGCCAUCCUGGUGGGCCAUCUGGA